GCUGGGUGUGGUGGCGCACGCCUGUAGUCCCAGCUACUUGGGAGGCUGAGGCAGGAGAUUCUCCUGAACCCAGGAGGAGGCGGUUGCAGUGAGCCGAGAUCACUCCAUUGCACUCCAGCCUGGGUGACAGGGUAAGACUCUGUCUCAA
RNAcentral lists this non-coding RNA (148 nucleotides) under Chlorocebus sabaeus (green monkey). The record is from Rfam by way of RNAcentral. Lineage: Eukaryota; Metazoa; Chordata; Mammalia; Primates; Cercopithecidae.